CCCUUAGACGUUCUGGGCCGCACGCGCGCUACACUGACCAGCGCAACAAGCAUCCGUCCUUGGCCGACAGGCUCGGGCAAUCUUUGAACGCUGGUCGUGAUGGGGAUAGACUUUUGCAAUUUUUGGUCUUCAACGAGGAAUUCCUAGUAAACGCAAGUCAUCAACUUGCAUUGAUUACGUCCCUGCCCUUUGUACACACCGCCCGUCGCACCUACCGAUUGAAUGGUCCGGUGAAGCCUCCGGAUUGGCGCGCACCUCGGUGCCGCCGAGAAGUUGGCUAAACCUUACCAUUUAGAGGAAGGUGAANUCGUAACA
This 315-nucleotide ribosomal RNA is filed under the name uncultured eukaryote. RNAcentral's name for it is "partial 18S ribosomal RNA". It matches the Rfam family "Eukaryotic small subunit ribosomal RNA", at positions 1470 to 1796 of the family's 1831-position model. The record is from RNAcentral.